GGAGAUCACCGCUAUUGGGGUUCGAUUAAGCCAUGCGAGUCUUUGGCAGCAAUGCCAAGGCAAACUGCUGAGUAACACGUAGUCAACCUGCCCUUAAGUCAGGGAUAAUCUCGGGAAACUGAGCAUAAUACCUGAUAUCCGAUAAUGCCUGGAACGGCUUAUCACUUAAAGCUUCGGCGCUCAAGGAUGGGACUGCGGUGGAUUAGGUUGAUGUUAGGGUAACUGCCUAACAUGCCGAUAAUCUAUAGGGGCUGUGAGAGCAGUAGCCCCCAGAUGGGUUCUGAGACACGAACCCAGGUCCUAAGGGACGCAGCAGGCGCGAAACCUCCGCAAUGCACGCAAGUGUGACGGGGGGACCUCAGGUGCUAGCACCACGAGUGUUAGCUUUUCGUGAGUUUAAAUUGCUUGCGGAAUAAGUGGUGGGUAAGACCGUUGCCAGCCGCCGCGGUAAUAACGGCACCACGAGUGGUGAUCACGCGUAUUGGGUCUAAAGCAUCCGUAGCCGGACAGUCAAGUCAUUUGUGAAACUUCAUAGAAAACUGUGAAAAGUGCAAGUGAAACUAGCUGUCUUGGAACCGGGAAGGGUUAGAGGUACUUCUAGGGUAGAGGUGGAAUUCUGUAAUCCUAGAGGGACCACCUGUGGCGAAGGCGUCUAACUGGAACGGAUUCGACGGUGAGGGAUGAAAGCUAGGGGAGCGAAGGGGAUUAGAUACCCCCGUAGUCCUAGCUGUAAACGAUGCCCGCUAGGUAUUGCGUGUUUUUCGUGAACAUGCAGUGCCGUAGGGAAGCCAUUAAGCGGGCCACCUGGGAAGUACGGUCGCAAGGCUGAAACUUAAAGGAAUUGGCGGGGGAGCACACAAGGGGUGCAGUCUGCGGUUUAAUUGGAUUCAACGCCGGGAACCUCACCAGGGGUGACAGCAUAAUGAUAGUCAGCUUGAAGAGCUUACUUGAAGCGCUGAGAGGUAUUGCAUGGCCGACGUCAGUUCGUGCCGCGAGGUGUCCUGUUAAGUCAGGUAACGAACGAGACCCGUACCCUAUGUUGCUAACUGUUUCCUCGGAAGCAGUGCACUCAUAGGGGACCGCUGGUGACAAAUCAGAGGAAGGAACGGUCAACGUUAGGUCAGUAUGGUCCGAAUCCCUUGGGCUACACGCGGGCAACAAUGUUAGGUACAAUAGGAUGCAACACCGAAAGGUGAAGCUAAUCCCUGAAACCCUAACUUAGUACAGAUUGAGGCUUGCAACUCAGCCUCAUGACGCCGGAAUCCCUAGUAGUCGAACGUUAGCACCGUUCGGCGAAUACGUCCCUGCUCCUUGCACACACCGCCCAUCAAACCACCUGAAUUGGGUCUAGAUGAGGUCUUAUCAACUGGUAGAAUCGAAUCUGGGUCUAGUAAGGGGGGUU
RNAcentral lists this ribosomal RNA (1402 nucleotides) under uncultured archaeon. Its description in RNAcentral is "bacterial SSU rRNA". It matches the Rfam family "Archaeal small subunit ribosomal RNA". The record is from RNAcentral.